Molecule: long non-coding RNA, 605 nt
Filed under: Nicotiana tabacum (common tobacco)
Lineage: Eukaryota; Viridiplantae; Streptophyta; Magnoliopsida; Solanales; Solanaceae
Description: long non-coding RNA (NTAB_LNC014565)
Source: RNAcentral
UCUUUUCUUUUCCCAUAUAUUGUUAACUCUUUAGCUAAAUACUGAAGUUGGAAUCAAGAGUCAAGCAAAUUGGACAUUGCUCAACGAGUGAAUGGCUCAUUUCAUACAUUCUUUUGAAGCUUGGGACCAGUACAAUUAUAGCUCAAAGUUUGCCCAAUGCAGUAAAAGGAAUACUAGACAGACUAGGAUAAUGUGUUGGAAGGAUUAGAAUAUGGAAUGAGGAAACUCUAAAUCUACUAAUCGAUAUAAACUGUUGAGCUGUAAAUGAAAAAUGGCAAAAAGUUCUUAAAAUUUCCGGCGUAAGAUAAUUCAUGCUUCAUCUCAAGACAUCCUACCAUCCUACAUGGUCUUCUUGAAUACCAGAUCUGUAAAGGAUUCUGUAAAACAGAAGACCAUCCCACCAGCAUCCUACUCGCACUUGAUUGACCGGUAUAUGUGACGGACAAAAAAUAGGGCUGCGCGGAAACCCACAGUCCCGAGCAUGAGAAAGAAACCAUAGCAGAUGCAAGCCAUGUAUCCAAAGAAGAAUGAGGUUUGCAUGAAGCCGGACAUAUCAGAACGGGCAUAAUAGUAAUACAAGCAGUAGCCGUAGAUGAAGAGUCCAG